GUUUCGAUGUUUCCCUUGACUUGUAUGCGUGUUUUUAACAACACGGAAAAUCAGAAUUAAGCAGUAUUUAUAUUUAGUGCUUUUAUAAAUUUAGAAACAUGUCAGAAGGAAUUCCCCAGUUUUGAUAACAUGCGAGAGUUCUCUAAAUUUCAUUCGAUAAAUCUAUUUCAGUCAUAUAAGAACUGAAGUGGAGUUUCUUAUAUGUCACCGUUAUGAAACUGAUAUUUGAUAUUGUACUUCCAUAAAGAAAUGGAUGUCGUUUAAUAAACAUUUAAUAUACAUCCUGGCUACAAAUCAAAAGUCUAGGGUUUGUUUAUGUAAUUAUGGGCAUGCCUAUAGUUUUCUUGACUUGAAGGGGUAUCAGAUUGAAUGGUUGCUCUGGAUUCCCCACUCCAUUGAUUAAUUUGAAACUCACAAGAUCCUUUCUAUGUCUGUUUGCUAUUGAGGGUUAUUGUUGUUGCAUAAUUUUAAAUCAUAUGCAUCAUUUGAAUUAAAAUAAAUUUAGUCCACAACGUAAAGGUGUAACUAGAACACACCUUCAGCCAAAAUGGAGUCUUCCAUAUUAUCGCUUUAAGUUUUCUCCCUUCCGUAAGUAACUUCCAUCAAAAGACGAUACGUCGAGAAAAAUUAACUUGUUCUGUCGAUAGACGUUGUAUUAUAUUAAAACCGAUCACAAUUUAAACCGAGGAAUGUGUACGGAAAGGAGUCAUGCUAACUGACCCAAAGGAAUUUUAUAUUUAAAGAGUUAGGAAUGGGGUUCCACCUAGAAUUCACAUAGGAAAAUAGGUGAUAAGGUACGAAGUGAAAUACCUUCUCUCACUCUCAGUGACUGCUAAGGAAAGUAAACUUGGAAUUGAUAGUACAAAAACAAAACACAAUAAGUGCAUUGUUCAUACACUUGUAUUGAGGAUUGGCUAUUUUUAAAGUUGAAUAACUAUUCAGAUUACGUAAAGUACAUUUUACGAGCAUUUUACACGUGCAGUUCAAUUAUUUUUGAAAAUACAUGUAAUACUAAUACAUGUAUCAAUAAAAACAAUGGCAAUCAUAUCCCUC
Molecule: long non-coding RNA, 1053 nt
Filed under: Mytilus galloprovincialis (Mediterranean mussel)
Lineage: Eukaryota; Metazoa; Mollusca; Bivalvia; Mytilida; Mytilidae
Source: RNAcentral